This 253-nucleotide ribosomal RNA is filed under the name uncultured bacterium. RNAcentral describes it as "partial 16S ribosomal RNA". It matches the Rfam family "Bacterial small subunit ribosomal RNA", at positions 524 to 776 of the family's 1533-position model. The record is from RNAcentral.
UACAGAGGGGGCAAGCGUUAUUCGGAAUUAUUGGGCGUAAAGGGCGCGUAGGCGGCCUGGCAAGUGGAAGGUGAAAUCCCUCGGCUUAACCGGGGAACUGCGUCUGAUACUGGGUGGCUUGAGAUUGGGAGAGGGAUGCGGAAUUCCAGGUGUAGCGGUGAAAUGCGUAGAUAUCUGGAGGAACACCGGUGGCGAAGGCGGCAUCCUGGACCAACACUGACGCUGAGGAGCGAAAGCCAGGGGAGCAAACGGG